CCCAGUGUUCAGACUACCUGUUCAGGUAGCUAGAAGUUGCACAGUAGUCUACACACUGGUUA
RNAcentral lists this microRNA precursor (62 nucleotides) under Microcaecilia unicolor. Its description in RNAcentral is "Mun-Mir-199-P3-v2_pre stem-loop". It matches the Rfam family "mir-199 microRNA precursor family", at positions 12 to 71 of the family's 80-position model. Rfam says of the family: This family consists of the microRNA (miRNA) precursor mir-199 which appears to be specific to humans. Lineage: Eukaryota; Metazoa; Chordata; Amphibia; Gymnophiona; Siphonopidae. The record is from RNAcentral.